AGAGUUUGAUCCUGGCUCAGAACGAACGCUGGCGGCGUGCCUAACACACGCAAGUCGAACGGAGAUAAGGGGCUUGCUCCUUAUUUUAGUGGCGCACGGGUGAGUAACGCGUGGAUAAUCUACCUUGGAAUCUGGGAUAACAUUUCGAAAGGGGUGCUAAUACCGGAUAAGACCACGAGCUCUUUGGAGUUUGCGGUAAAAGGGGGCCUCUGUAUAUGCUUCUGUUUCAAGAUGAGUCCGCGUACCAUUAGCUAGUUGGCAGGGUAAUGGCCUACCAAGGCGACGAUGGUUAGCUGGUCUGAGAGGAUGAUCAGCCACACUGGAACUGAGACACGGUCCAGACUCCUACGGGAGGCAGCAGUGGGGAAUUUUGCGCAAUGGGGGAAACCCUGACGCAGCAACGCCGCGUGAGUGAUGAAGGCCUUCGGGUCGUAAAGCUCUGUCAGAGGGAAAGAAGUGUAUGGCGGUUAAUACCCGUUAUACUUGACGGUACCCUCAAAGAG
Molecule: ribosomal RNA, 503 nt
Filed under: uncultured bacterium
Lineage: Bacteria
Description: bacterial SSU rRNA
Rfam family: Bacterial small subunit ribosomal RNA
Source: RNAcentral